GUAGGGAAUAUUGGGCAAUGGAUGAAAGUCUGACCCAGCCAUGCCGCGUGCCGGAUGAAGGCGCUCAGCGUUGUAAACGGCUUUUAUUCGGGAAGAAGAGCAGGGAUGCGUCCCUGUGUGACGGUACCGAAUGAAUAAGCACCGGCUAACUCCGUGCCAGCAGCCGCGGUAAUACGGAGGGUGCGAGCGUUGUCCGGAUUUAUUGGGUUUAAAGGGUGCGUAGGUGGCCAAAUAAGUCAGUGGUGAAAUACGGUUGCUCAACAAUCGAGGUGCCAUUGAUACUGCUUGGCUUGAAAUAAUUGGAGGCUGCCGGAAUGGAUGGUGUAGCGGUGAAAUGCAUAGAUAUCAUCCAGAACACCGAUUGCGAAGGCAGGUGGCUACGAUUUAUUUGACACUGAGGCACGAAAGCAUGGGGAGCAAACAGGAUUAGAUACCCGGGUAUCC
RNAcentral lists this ribosomal RNA (444 nucleotides) under uncultured bacterium. RNAcentral describes it as "partial 16S ribosomal RNA". It matches the Rfam family "Bacterial small subunit ribosomal RNA", at positions 354 to 795 of the family's 1533-position model. The record is from RNAcentral.